RNAcentral lists this ribosomal RNA (497 nucleotides) under uncultured bacterium. RNAcentral describes it as "partial 16S ribosomal RNA". It matches the Rfam family "Bacterial small subunit ribosomal RNA", at positions 28 to 507 of the family's 1533-position model. The record is from RNAcentral.
GAUGAACGCUGGCGGCGUGCCUAAUACAUGCAAGUCGAGCGAACGGACGAGAAGCUUGCUUCUCUGAUGUUAGCGGCGGACGGGUGAGUAACACGUGGAUAACCUACCUAUAAGACUGGGAUAACUUCGGGAAACCGUAGCUAAUACCGGAUAAUAUUUUGAACCGCAUGGUUCAAAAGUGAAAGACGGUCUUGCUGUCACUUAUAGAUGGAUCCGCGCUGCAUUAGCUAGUUGGUAUGGUAACGGCUUACCAAGGCAACGAUGCAUAGCCGACCUGAGAGGGUGAUCGGCCACACUGGAACUGAGACACGGUCCAGACUCCUACGGGAGGCAGCAGUAGGGAAUCUUCCGCAAUGGGCGAAAGCCUGACGGAGCAACGCCGCGUGAGUGAUGAAGGUCUUCGGAUCGUAAAACUCUGUUAUUAGGGAAGAACAUAUGUGUAAGUAACUGUGCACAUCUUGACGGUACCUAAUCAGAAAGCCACGGCUAACUACGUG